This 3771-nucleotide long non-coding RNA is filed under the name Salmo salar (Atlantic salmon). RNAcentral's name for it is "lncRNA (ENSSSAG00000107173.1)". Lineage: Eukaryota; Metazoa; Chordata; Actinopteri; Salmoniformes; Salmonidae. The record is from RNAcentral.
CUGAUUUUUGCAAUGUUACGUAGAUGGAAAAAAGCUGUCCUUGAAACAGUCUUGAUAUGUUCUUCAAAAGAGAGAUCAGGGUCCAGAGUAACGCCGAGGUCCUUCACAGUUUUAUUUGAGACGACUGUACAACCAUCCAGAUUAAUUGUCAGAUUCAACAGAAGAUCUCUUUGUUUCUUGGGACCUAGAACAAGCAUCUCUGUUUUGUCCUGCAUUGUCUUGGUUGUGUGCUUAGGGUUGUUGACCUGUUGGAAGUUGAACCUUUGCCCCAGUUUGAGGUCCUGAGUGCUCUGGAGCAGGUUUUCAUCAAGGAUCUCUCAGUACCUUGCUUCAUUCAUCUUUCCCUCGAUCCUAACUAGUCUCCCAGUCCCUGCCACUGAGAAACAUCCCCACAGCAUGACGCUGCCACCACCAUGCUUCACCGUAGGGAUGGUGACAGGUUUCCUCCAGACGUGACGCUAGGCAUUCAGGCCAAAGAGUUCAAUCUUGGUUCCAUCAGACCAGAGAAUUUAGAUUUUCAUGGUCUGAGUCUUUUAAGUGCCUUUUGGCAAACGCCAAGCGGGCUGUCAUGUGCCUUUUAUUGAUGAAAGGCUUACCAUAAAGGCCUUACUGGUGGAGUGGUGCAGAGAUGGUUGUCCUUCUGUAAGGUUCUCCCAUCUCCACAGAGGAACUCUGGAGCUCUGUCAGAGUGACCAUCGGGUUCUUGGUCACCUCCCUGACCAAGGCCCUUCUACCCCGAUUGCUCUGUUUGGCCUGGCGGACAGCUCUAGGAAGAGUCUUGGUGGUUUCAAGCUUCUUCCAUUUAAGAAUGAUGGCGACCACUGUGUUCUUGGGGAGCUUCAAUACUGCAGAAAUGUUUUGGUACCCUUCCUCAGAUCUGUGCCGACACAAUCCUGUCUCGGCGCUCUACGGACAAUUCCUUCGACCUCAUGGCUUUGUGUUUUCUCUGACAUGCACUGUCAACUGUGGGACCUUAUAUAGACAGGUGUGUGCUUUUCCAACUCACGUCCAAUCAAUUGAAUGUACCACAGGUGGACUCCAUUGAAGUUGUAAAAACAGCUCAGGUAUAAUCUAUGGAAAUAGAAUGCACCUGAGCUCAAUUUCGAGUCUCAUAGCAAAGGGUCUGAAUACUUUUGUAAAUAAGGUAUUUAUGUUUUUUGUCAUUAUGGGGUAUUGUGUGUAGAUUGAUGCGAAAUGUUUUAUUUAAUACGUUUUAAAAUAUGGCUGUAAUGUAACAAAAUGUGGAAAAGGUGACGGUGUCGGAAGACUUUCGAAUGCACUGUAUAUGCUAGCUAGGCCUAUUCACUGUCUCUGAGUUCAUUUAACAUAGUUGUAGCUAGUUGGCAAGCAUAUUACUCAUCCUUUUAUGGUGGUUCAGUUACUGUAUGUUUUUUCCCCCCCAAAUUGUUUCUGAGUUAGCUAGGUAGUUAGUUGGCUUAGUCUAGAGGCAGACAGUUGCUUUAGGUAGCUAUAGCUAGCUAGCUACAUAUUGAAAUGAAAGGAGUGUCACAAUUGUUCAAACCUAGUUUAGGCUAUGUAUUUUGACUCUCCACUUAAACUGUGCUAAUGUCUUCGUCCCCCACUGCCCAGACACUAGAGACUGCAUGACCCUGAGAGUGCUUCUCCCACCACCAGCGUAUCAAAUGCAUAUUCUAAUGACGACAUGGCCCUGAAAGCUCAGGAGACUGCUGAGGGGAGGACAGCUCAUAAUAAUGGCUGCAAUGAAGUGAGCGGAAUGGUUGCAACCAAUAUGGCUGAAUAUCUACGCCAGGCGACCGAAAGAACAAGAGAAACCGAACCCUUCGCUCUGACUCUCAGGGACAAUCACCUCUACUCCCUGGCCAUUCACCAUCGUGACUGGGAAGACUCUGGAGCAGAAGACAUUAUGUUUUGCUGUUUUACAAGAAUUCAUAUGGAAAAUUGAUACCUGGUAGGGGUUGGGGGGAGUAAAGGGUAAAGUGUUUACUUUUCUUCACCCCCUUUCCUCAGCUUUAAUUGCAAGGGCUACUGUGAUUUUGAAAUGAUGGAUUGUGCUAAAGUUUUUAUUUGUGUGUUCCUUAUUUGUUUAUUUUUUGCAUGACUUUCUUUUGGAGCUGAAAUUAAUAACUCAAAAAACAUAUUUUGUAUUUUAUUUACAAUUUGUCAUGAUUGGCCAUAUGUCAUUUUAAGAAUUUCAUAGACUGUGUCGAAAAUUUGUAACAUUGAUUGUUAUUGUUAGAUAUAUUUUGUACAUUUAGAAAAUUAACAGAUUAUGUAAUAGAGAGAAGGUAGAAAAAUAACCCAGCAAUAAAGUAAGAAAUAACCCACUGCUGGGUCAAAAAUACAUGAAUAAAAAUAACCCAGCAAAAGAGUAAAAAGCAACCUAAUGCUGGGUCAAAGUAAUCACAUUUUGUGGUAAAUCAAUAAACCCAACGUGUUGGGUCAUUCAUGUAACCCAACAGUGCUGUAUUCAAAUAUUUUUUUGUGUGUAAGGAAAGGGGAUGACUAUGACAUUGAACCUCUGUAGAUAAGAUAUACUGUAGGCGUAUGUUAUUUCCAACCUUAAAAGUUUGGGGAAUAUUAAUGUUUACAUAAGGAAGAUGACCUUGGAUUAAAACCUCUACAGGAUUGGUGGGUCCCCCGCGGGACGGUUGAGCUAACGUAGGCUAAUGCGACUAGCAUGAGUUUGUAAGUAACAAGAACAUUUCCCAGGACAUAGACAUAUCUGAUAUUGGCAGAAAGCUUAAAUUCUUGUUAAUGUAACUGCACUGUCCAAUUUACAGUAGCUAUUACAGUGAAAGAAUACCAUGCAAUUGUUUGAGAAGAGUGCACAGUUAUGAACUUGAAAAGUUAUUAUUAAACCAAUUAGGCACAUUUGGGCAGUCUUGAUACAAUAUUUUGAGCAGAAAUACAAUGGUUCAUUGGAUCAGUCUAAAACUUUACACAAACACUGCUUCCAUCUAGUGGCCAAAAUCUAAAUUGCGCCUGGGCUGUAAUAAUACAUUAUGGCCUUUCUCUUGCAUUUCGAAGAUGAUUGUACAAAAAAAACAUGUUUUUUUCCUUUGUAUUAUCUUCUAAAUGAUCUAAUGUGUUAUAUUCUCCUAAAUUCAUUUCACAUUUCUACUAACUUCAAAGUGUUUCCUUUCAAAUGGUUUCAAGAAUAUGCACAUCCUUGUUUCAGGUCCUGAGCUCCAGGCAGUUAAAUUUGGGUAUGGUAUUUUAUGCGAAAAUUGAAAAAAAAAGGGAUGGAUCCUUAAGGUUUUUUAAGCAAAGCAUUAAAGUCAAAACCCACAAUUUGCAAAAACAGAACAAUGUAUUAUUCAUGCUACCAGCUAACAUCAACGGACAUGACACCACAUGACAAGACACAGCCAUUGUUGUAUGAAAACAUCGUGGUGCCACUUGGAGACUGACAUCAUGAUCAAGUCAUUUCACCAUUUGACUGUCAGAGUUGCACCAUUGUUUAUGGUCAUCUGAAGUUUUUUUAUUUUUAUUUCAUGCAUGGGCCAAUGAUGAUGUAGCGUUACACAACAUAUGUAUCACAAUUGUGCACUCAUAUGAAGAGUAUAACGAACUUCCUUCUAGUCGAUAUUGUAUUGAUUAGUAAAUUAGUAAGGGGUAUAUGAAAGACAACAUCUGAAUGGGAUUUUAAGCAAAAGAUUGCUUCUUCUCUUCACACAAACACAGAACAUGGGUAUAUAUAUGCAGAUAAAUAGAAUGUAAAUAUAUUGUAGAACAGCAAAUAGGAUAUUAGUGCAUAUCCUACCUGGGAAAAAAACGAGUGAGACAGGG